Molecule: ribosomal RNA, 252 nt
Filed under: uncultured soil bacterium
Lineage: Bacteria
Description: partial 16S ribosomal RNA
Rfam family: Bacterial small subunit ribosomal RNA
Source: RNAcentral
AGGACGAACGCUGGCGGCGUGCUUAACACAUGCAAGUCGAACGGUAAGGCCCCUUCGGGGGUACACGAGUGGCGAACGGGUGAGUAACACGUGAGCAACCUGCCCUUGACUCUGGAAUAACAGCUGGAAACAGCUGCUAAUACCGGAUACGACGCGCCUCGACAUCGAGGAACGUGGAAAGCUCCGGCGGUCAAGGAUGGGCUCGCGGCCUAUCAGCUAGUUGGUGAGGUAACGGCUCACCAAGGCUUCGAC